Molecule: ribosomal RNA, 802 nt
Filed under: Streptomyces sp. CUA-845
Lineage: Bacteria; Bacillati; Actinomycetota; Actinomycetes; Kitasatosporales; Streptomycetaceae
Description: bacterial SSU rRNA
Rfam family: Bacterial small subunit ribosomal RNA
Source: RNAcentral
CGAUGAACCUCUUUCGGGAGGGGAUUAGUGGCGAACGGGUGAGUAACACGUGGGCAAUCUGCCCUGCACUCUGGGACAAGCCCUGGAAACGGGGUCUAAUACCGGAUAUGACCAUUGGGGGCAUCCCUGGUGGUGGAAAGCUCCGGCGGUGCAGGAUGAGCCCGCGGCCUAUCAGCUUGUUGGUGGGGUGAUGGCCUACCAAGGCGACGACGGGUAGCCGGCCUGAGAGGGCGACCGGCCACACUGGGACUGAGACACGGCCCAGACUCCUACGGGAGGCAGCAGUGGGGAAUAUUGCACAAUGGGCGAAAGCCUGAUGCAGCGACGCCGCGUGAGGGAUGACGGCCUUCGGGUUGUAAACCUCUUUCAGCAGGGAAGAAGCGAAAGUGACGGUACCUGCAGAAGAAGCGCCGGCUAACUACGUGCCAGCAGCCGCGGUAAUACGUAGGGCGCGAGCGUUGUCCGGAAUUAUUGGGCGUAAAGAGCUCGUAGGCGGCUUGUCGCGUCGGUUGUGAAAGCCCGGGGCUUAACCCCGGGUCUGCAGUCGAUACGGGCAGGCUAGAGUUCGGUAGGGGAGAUCGGAAUUCCUGGUGUAGCGGUGAAAUGCGCAGAUAUCAGGAGGAACACCGGUGGCGAAGGCGGAUCUCUGGGCCGAUACUGACGCUGAGGAGCGAAAGCGUGGGGAGCGAACAGGAUUAGAUACCCUGGUAGUCCACGCCGUAAACGUUGGGCACUAGGUGUGGGCGACAUUCCACGUCGUCCGUGCCGCAGCUAACGCAUUAAGUGCCCCGCCUGGGGAGUA